GCAGAUUGUUCGGCACGAAGUGUUUGGGCUUAUUCGAAAGGCAAUCUUGUGAAAAUUGUACAUCGAUUUCCUUAUUCCGCCAUCAGCUUCUAUUCAUAUGAGCGAUACAAAACGUUCAGCACUCACUAUUGGAAAUUUUGUAUACACCGGGUGUGAUGGUCUUCGCCGAGAGCCAAACCAUGGGCAGUCGGCAAAGUAAGAGACGCCGAGCGUCACUCUCGGUUAAGGGAGCUCGGCAAACACAUGUUAAUGCCAUGAGUAGGCCUCGGCAAAAAGGUUACACUCGGCAAAGGAACUAUUUGCCAAGGGCCAAGUGGCCACCACACGGCAAAGUUUUGCCACGUGGAAGGCUGCAAGAUGAAGAUGAAAAAAGUUCCGGCGUGAAGUGUUUUUGCGCCACACUCCUAUGGAAAAAAAAGUUCAGCAUGUAUACGAAAAAAAAUAUCAUCAUGUAUUCAGAAAAGUGUUCAUCAUGUACUUGAAAAGGUGUUCAACAGAUAUUUGAAAAAGUGUUCAACACAUAUUUGAUAAAUGUUCAUCUUCUAUUUGAGAAAGUGUUCAACACAUAUUUGAUGUUCAUCAUGUGCUUCAAAAAUGUUUACCGCGUAUUUCAAAACGUGUGCAUAAGAACCAAACAAACUACACGCCUUUGAUAUAGUAGUAAUACGUUCGUACCUGAACCCCGUGACAUGGCAAGCCACCCAAUCCC
RNAcentral lists this long non-coding RNA (709 nucleotides) under Triticum aestivum (bread wheat). RNAcentral describes it as "long non-coding RNA (TAES_LNC017343)". Lineage: Eukaryota; Viridiplantae; Streptophyta; Magnoliopsida; Poales; Poaceae. The record is from RNAcentral.